AAUUUAUUAGUAAGAAUGUGAAUUAUAAAUUUUUGGCGGUUGAUUUAUUUUUAGAGGAGCUUGUUUUGGAAAUUACUCUUUAUAUUUAAUUUAUGAAAGUUUAUUUAUCUCCGUUAUUAGAAAAUAUUUUUAAAAUUUAAUGAUUUUAUUUCAGGUCAAGAUGUAGCGAUUAUGUUGUUAAAUUAGCUACAUUUAUGAAAUAAUGGAAUUUUAGUAAGUAAAUUGAUUAUAAAAUUGAAUUUAGUUGUAAUAUAAUUUUAUUAUGAAAAUAUGAAGUUAAUAGAUUAAUGUA
RNAcentral lists this ribosomal RNA (292 nucleotides) under Protimesius junina. RNAcentral's name for it is "partial small subunit ribosomal RNA". Lineage: Eukaryota; Metazoa; Arthropoda; Arachnida; Opiliones; Stygnidae. The record is from RNAcentral.